GACGAACGCUGGCGGCGUGCUUAACACAUGCAAGUCGAGCGGUAAGGCCCUUUCGGGGGUACACGAGCGGCGAACGGGUGAGUAACACGUGGGUGACCUGCCCUCAGCUCUGGGAUAAGCCUGGGAAACUGGGUCUAAUACCGGAUAUGACUCCAUGACGCAUGUUGUGGGGUGGAAAGCCUUGUGCGGCUGGGGAUGGGCCCGCGGCCUAUCAGCUUGUUGGUGGGGUGAUGGCCUACCAAGGCGACGACGGGUAGCCGGCCUGAGAGGGCGACCGGCCACACUGGGACUGAGACACGGCCCAGACUCCUACGGGAGGCAGCAGUGGGGAAUCUUGCGCAAUGGGCGAAAGCCUGACGCAGCGACGCCGCGUGA
This 375-nucleotide ribosomal RNA is filed under the name uncultured bacterium. Its description in RNAcentral is "bacterial SSU rRNA". It matches the Rfam family "Bacterial small subunit ribosomal RNA", at positions 28 to 404 of the family's 1533-position model. The record is from RNAcentral.